This is a long non-coding RNA of Neopsephotus bourkii (Bourke's parrot), 589 nucleotides long. RefSeq lists it as uncharacterized. The record is from RefSeq and is a predicted model, not a curated record. The transcript is spliced from 3 exons. NCBI's taxonomy places the organism in Eukaryota, Metazoa, Chordata, Aves, Psittaciformes, Psittacidae.
CCCCCCUCCAAACUCUUGGAGCGCCCCUGGGGCCGGCGCACAAGCGGGUUUGGGCCGGGGAUCGGCUUUUCCUAACGGGAUUAAGCGGCUCUCGGUGACUUUCCCCGUGGGAGCAAACUACUGCACUGCCAUCUCCUUGUGAGUGGGACUGGGAGCACAGCUGUACAUCGAGCCCAAAGCGUCUCACAGAGAGUAGACAGAGACAUUCAAAAAUCAUUGUUCCUCAGAAGGUAGUAAGCUCUGGUCGAUUGCAUCCUGCCUGCCUUGCUAUUUUGCCUGCACAGGGCUGGACUGAGUAUUCUAGGCUGGGAGGUAGUGUUGGUAAGAACUGCAUACAGUACAAACUGAAUAUAAGUGAUGUUCUUGUUACACAUGUAAGUUUUUGAGGCUUUUAUGCAGAGAGAAAGAUGGAAAAGAUUUUCCAUUUCCCCUGCUUCUACAAAAUUUGAUUCCACCUGCUUGUCCUUCAGAUUUUACCCAUCAUUUGAUGCUGUCUUUCAUUUCUAAAACUUUCUUCAGUUAAGUCAACUGGAACUUAAAAAGGCACUGAGGCCCUUCCUUAGCACAGACUGGUUUUCUGCAGAGCUUA